GUACACUCCUACGGGAGGCAGCAGUGGGGAAUUUUGGACAAUGGGCGAAAGCCUGAUCCAGCAAUGCCGCGUGAGUGAAGAAGGCCUUCGGGUUGUAAAGCUCUUUUGUCAGGGAAGAAACGGUGAGAGCUAAUAUCUCUUGCUAAUGACGGUACCUGAAGAAUAAGCACCGGCUAACUACGUGCCAGCAGCCGCGGUAAUACGUAGGGUGCAAGCGUUAAUCGGAAUUACUGGGCGUAAAGCGUGCGCAGGCGGUUUUGUAAGUCUGAUGUGAAAUCCCCGGGCUCAACCUGGGAAUUGCAUUGGAGACUGCAAGGCUAUAAUCUGGCAGAGGGGGGUAGAAUUCCACGUGUAGCAGUGAAAUGCGUAGAUAUGUGGAGGAACACCGAUGGCGAAGGCAGCCCCCUGGGUCAAGAUUGACGCUCAUGCACGAAAGCGUGUGGAGCAAACAGGAUUAGAAACCCGUGUAGUCCCAUGAU
RNAcentral lists this ribosomal RNA (479 nucleotides) under uncultured organism. RNAcentral describes it as "partial 16S ribosomal RNA". It matches the Rfam family "Bacterial small subunit ribosomal RNA", at positions 331 to 801 of the family's 1533-position model. The record is from RNAcentral.